UACGGAGGGUGCAAGCGUUGUCCGGAUUUAUUGGGUUUAAAGGGUGCGUAGGCGGCCCGUUAAGUCCGUGGUGAAAGCCUCCAGCUCAACUGGAGAACUGCCAUGGAUACUGGCGGGCUUGAGUACAGACGGGGUUGGCGGAAUUGAUUGUGUAGCGGUGAAAUGCAUAGAUACAAUCAAGAACUCCGAUUGCGUAGGCAGCUAACUAGGCUGUAACUGACGCUGAGGCACGAAAGCGUGGGGAGCGAACAGG
RNAcentral lists this ribosomal RNA (253 nucleotides) under uncultured bacterium. RNAcentral's name for it is "partial 16S ribosomal RNA". It matches the Rfam family "Bacterial small subunit ribosomal RNA", at positions 524 to 776 of the family's 1533-position model. The record is from RNAcentral.